This is a long non-coding RNA of Lycium barbarum (goji berry), 1036 nucleotides long. RefSeq lists it as uncharacterized. Lineage: Eukaryota; Viridiplantae; Streptophyta; Magnoliopsida; Solanales; Solanaceae. The transcript is spliced from 3 exons. The record is from RefSeq and is a predicted model, not a curated record.
GAAAUUUUCACCAAGGUACGGUACCAAGUUACGGUCCGUACCUCGUGUUACGGGACCGUAACAGUGACCGUAUCUUGGUCCGUAUAUACGUUUCGGGUCACCUGACUUCGGGAGGCCAUAACCCUAUCAUAACUUGGGAAUUUGGGAAAACUCAAAGAACGAAAGUUGUAGAUAAUUGAAAAACCUAUCCAACCAUAGGUUGUGGGUUCACAGGAGACGUCGGGAUAAGGAGAUAUGGACGUUUUAAGACAGCAAGGUCUCAACCCGUUUUCAAGUUGGGUCAAACCCAUUUUCCCUUGGUAUAAAAGGGAAAUAUAACCCUAGCAGCCCAUUUCUUUCUCCAAAUUCAGAUUUUAGAGAGAGGAAGUGAGAGAGAAGGGAAAUUAGAGAGAGAAAGUAGAAAAUCAACCAAGUUUAAGGCCCCGAAUCCCAAAGCUCGUGAAGGAAAAAGUGUAGUACAAGUCGUUGUCGUCAUUUUAAGCCCAAGAUCGGACUUGGGGGUGUUGAUUUCGUGAUUACUACUCUUGAAAGAUUGAAGUUGAAGGGAUUGAAGAACAUUGUGAUACGCUCAAAAGCGGGAAGUUAAGGUACGGAUUUACAGGACGAUGCUUCUGAUCAUUAGGAUUUGCUCGUAUCAGCUUAUUGGUGAGCCCCAUCUCAUUCGGGGUUUAGUCAACUUUUACUUUAUGAUUAAUUAUGCAUCUAAAGGUAUGCUGGGGGCCUUGUCCCAGUAAGUAUGUUUUCCAGUCAGACUCAUGAUAGAGGUUUCAUAGACUAGACAAGUCAGUUAUGCUAUGUCAGACAUUCAGAGUCGUAUAGCCAUUUUUGGCUCAUUCAUGUUAUUUCCGCACUCAUGUUUAAACAAGUGUUUUUAUUAAGUAUUAUGACUUACUACAUUUUAUAAAGGCUCAUCAUGCAUUCACGUUAUAUUUCCGCUCAUGUAUGCCUCAUGAUAGUUCAGCAGGCCAUGUGGUUCGCUCGGUCACAUGCAGUCAGGCACCGAGUGCCGUGUUACGUCCAGGCCAUGGUUCGGGGC